UUCUGCAGAUGGUUCUGUGCUGCCCAAUUCUCCAGGAGAUAGCAGUUGCUGGUUGAGAUGCAAGACAAAGCUGGAAUCAAGCCAACCUGGACAUUUGCUUCCUUAUAACUGCCAAAACCUGUGACAGUGACAUAUUAGAGAGGACUGGAUGUUGAGUCCAGCACAGAAGAUAUGGGGAGCAACUGCCUUGAUGCUUUUCUCUUCCCCUAUUAGGUUAAUACCCAUGAUAUCAUGGAGCCUAUUUGACGUAACCUGUAGAGUUGCCUUUUAGAGGAAAAAAAUAAAAAUCUCCUCAUUCAUCUUAAAAGUG
Molecule: long non-coding RNA, 310 nt
Organism: Numida meleagris (helmeted guineafowl)
Lineage: Eukaryota; Metazoa; Chordata; Aves; Galliformes; Numididae
Exons: 3
Source: RefSeq, a predicted model, not a curated record